GGCGGGAGCGAGGCGGGAGCGAGGCAGGUGUGCGGGCGCGGGGAAGGAGCGCGGCGCAGGCGGGCGGGGACGAGGCAGGUGAGCCGUCCGUCCACCCCACGACCAGCCUUGGGAACUGCAGGGCUGGGAACCCGGAGAAGGCGGCUGGAAUCUGGAGGAGCCUGGAGGUGGCCUUCCCUGCCGGGAACACAGGCCAGGCCCCAUCUGUAUCUAACCUUGUACUGGAGGAGCGCAGAGCGGAUAUCUCCAGAUCUGAGUCCUGAACGCGCGGCCGGGAACCCCAGCAGUCCUGAACUUGUCAGGGGAGCGGCCUGCCGUGAGAGGUCUCCCAGGCGGCUGUAAGGCCUCUGGAACCUCCCUGCUCGGAGGAGGUUGACUGGGGACAGGGCCGUGGAGGUCAGUAAAAGGGACUGCUGCCAUUAGCCCUGUGCUGUCUGCACACAGAGAUUAAGCCCACUUGUGAUUUGUUCCAGCUGAUCUGAAGUAAUGAGUAAUUCACAAUUAAUGAGCACGGCUGUACACAGCCCUUCCUGGACAAAUCCUCGACUGUGUAAAACUAAGAUUGAAUGCAAACCAUUCUGUCAAUUAACCGUUACAACAAAGCCAAACUUCUGUUAAACAUCACUUCGUAGAUGAUUUUUUUUCCUUAAAUUGCCUCCUUGUCUGCAAAGCCUGUUUUGCAAGUGGAAUGCUUAAGUCACAUGAGUGGAAAUGCAGCCUUAUUUACAGUUUAGCAAAAGCAACCUGAGAAUUUGCUUCCAAGGACCUCAUGUUCUCCAGAGGUCGGAGUACGAGGAAUCACUUCAUUGGAAAGGACUUGGUAAAGAGUAGCCGUGUAGCUGCCAGAAUGCACUGUAGACUCAUGAUAAGGUGGUGAGGGCCAGGGGUGAGGGGCCACAGGUGGCUUCUGCACCUCCAAGCACAUGGUAUCCAGAACUGGGCUUGCCUCCCACCUUCCUUCCUGCACAUUUCCUGCUGCCAGAAAUUUGCUUUUCACUGACUUCCCCCUAAUUCAAAUUUGAUUAGAAUCUCCUCUUUGGGAACAUUCAAAGUGCCAAGGUGCAUCUCAGAAAUGCAAGGUUGCAGGGGCGGGGUCCUGAAAUCCAAGGGUGGUGGGGCCUGAGAUCACUGCCCUGGCAGUAGGAAGAUCCUCGGGGAGAGGCCGGCAGAGGGCCUGGACCGAAGGCACUGACACCCUGGAGAGGCACAGGACGGGGGGCCUGGGACCUCAGAGCUGGCUGGGUUGAGGUAGUGUGGUCUUCAUUCAGAGGGAAGUGAGGUGGUGAGGAAAGAUGAACAGCGUCAUGUGGGCAGCAGCGGAGGAAGUGACGCAAGACACCCCACAGCUUUGGGUUCACUGAGUGGGCAGUUAUAUUUAUUUAUUUUAUUUUAUUUUUGUAGAGAUGGGGUCUCGCUGUUGCCCAGACUGGUCUCGAGCUCUUGGCCUCCUAGACUGCUGGGAUUACCAGUGAGAGCCAUUGCAGAUGACCAGUUUUCUUUAUUUUUAAUUGUUUAUGCAAAAGUUUUGGUGAAUACUGGCUAUAUGGAGAGGCCUCAGUACCAAUUGCCAGGGGCCUGGAGUAGGUGCAGUGGUCUCAAUGUGUGUGUCCCCCCAAACCAUAUGUUGACACGUAACCCCCAAGGUGAUGUGGUUGGGAGAUGGGGCUUUAAGCAGGUGACUGGGCCGUGAGGGCUCUCCUCUCAAGAUGGAUGGGUGCCCUUCUGUCCCUUCCUCCAUGUGAGGACCCAUAGAAGGUGCCAUCUCUGGGGAACAGGUUGUCACCAAACGCCAGAUCUGCUGACGCCUGGAUCCUGGACUUGUUGGCCUCCAGAACUGUGUGCAGCACAUUUCUGUUGUUUAUUCAUCACAUGGUCUGAGGUAUUUUGUUACAGCAGCACAAAUGGACCAAGACCCCAGGUCUCCAAAUCGAAGAACUGCACAGCAGCCCCUCAGUGCUGGUGGGAGGCAGAGAUUCCCUGCAGGUCUGCACAGAUGGUGUUAGACUUGGGGGACACUGGGUCCCCAGUAAGAAUGAUUCUGCUGUGAGUGCAGCUAGUGAAGGCUGAGUUCAAGCUUGAAAGACAAGAGCCAGACGGGUUCCUGAGACAGCCUGAUCCCCAAGACCUUCGUGUGCCCAAGUCUCCAGGGGGAUGAACCUCAAAGGACCUGGUUCGACCUCCCUCAGGCAGUGGGUGCCGCCUGGAGGUCGGGGUCACUUGAGACCGUACGAGACUCUGCGCGUGGUGACCACAUCACCCCAUAAUAAAGCAGCCCACGAGGGCAUCCGGGCUGUUCAGCCGUGUGCACUGAGGUCAUCUUUUCUACUCUGUGUCAGGUAUUUAAAGGCUGACCGUGACUCACCAUGUGGAUUUAGUGGCUCAUUGAGGAGUUGCAGCCCAUGCUUUUUAAAAAGGUAAUCUACAAAAAAUAAAUGAAAAGGUCUCCAGGACAGUAGACCAAGUGCGGAUGUGGUCCCUCGAGUUCCGUUUUUCAGCCGCCCGCAUUCCUAGGAUUCAGACCCGUUGGGGAUUCAAAUUGCACAGGAAAACCCUAUAUCGGUUCAGGGGGAUGGUGGUGAAUUGGGGGUGGGUGUACCGGACCGGAGCUCCGGGGGCUACGGAAGGAAAGUCAAGCCUGUGAAUUGCAGAGCCUGGACAGAGAAGUCGAGGUGAUGGCGUUCUGCAGAUCCCUGAAAUUCUGUGACAUGAAGGGACAGCCCCAUGUGGCCCCUUGGAAGGACCAAGGCCCUGCCCAGCGCCUUGUACAAGGCGGCAAUCGGUGUUGGCUCCACCAACCCGCACCCUCAGGCCUUCUGGAAAGAGAAGGAGAUCCGACUGACUGAGCCUCUCCAAACUUCCAAGCACUGCAGAUACCUCGUUCAAGCCCAGUGCUGCAUGACUGACCCGAAGCCAGAGUCUGCAUUCCUUCCCCGGCCUGCAGGAAGGGAUGAGGCUCCUGUCACAAGAAGUGUUCCGUCAUCAGCCAGGCAGACGCUGGCUGUGGAUUCUAGGGGAGCAUCGAGUACCAGGGACAAUGUUUGCUUGGGUUCCCCCGUCCCGCCCGAGCCCAGAACGCGGAGCCGGAGUCAGGGGCUUGUACAUGGAGCGUUUCAUGCCCAGGAGGCUGGGGCAGGGGCCGGGAAGGAGCGAGCGGGCCAGGACCAGCGCACUGUGCUGAGGGUCGCGUUGAGGGCUGGACCCUGGACCUCCACAAGCCUGGAGAAUGUUCCCUCUGGGCAGCGAGGGGCCUCUGCUUGUUGUCAGCUGGAGCUGCUCCUUGGGGCAUUUACUCCCCUGGCCCUGGGGUGGUGACUACAGGAUCCCACAGGUGUCCCGAGGCCUGAGGCUCUUCUCACAGCGGAGGCCGCUCUGCAGGAACUGGAGUUAGGACCCGGAGGGUGGGACGCACUGACUCAGAGGAGCUGGCUGUCGGGCCGGCAGGAGGAGGAGAUGUGCAAUGAGACGGAGCCUCACCUCCAGGGACGGCCCCGCGAGCCGGAGCUGCCCUGCUGCACACUCAGCACUCGAGGCGGGCUCGGAGGUGAUCUAAGCCCACAGCUGUCCAAGUCUGGAGAGAAUCCGCGGUGGGUGGCAGGUGCCUGCGGACGCUGAAUGUGCAGCCCCAGUCACGCUCAAUGCGGGGGCGCCUGUGUUAGCCGCUGACAUGGACAGGAAAGGCCUGUGCUGAACAAUGUUCCGUGCUCAAUUAGACACUUUCCUAAACAGGAGUGGAAGGUGUCUCGUGGGGGCUCCAAGCGAGAUUUAUGGAACUCACUCUCAUGAGAUAUGCAACGUUUUUCACACGUGGGAGAAAGGUCUGGGAUCGACUGGUGCCUGAGAGAAUGCUGAGGAUAAAUGGGAAGCAGGACAUUCCAGGGCACCUUUGCGUCUUGCAUGAGACCUUGUGAGGGCCCCGUAGUGCCCCUGACGUCACUGUCAAAGCUGGAGCUGCCCCCGCAUCCGCCUCGGCCUCCCUCGGGCGUCCUCCCCAGAUGGCCCUGUCAGCUCACAUGGAAGACAGCUGCUGAGAAGCAGGUGGCUGAGAAGCAGGUGUGAUGCCAGGCCGUGGGAGAAGCCGCAUCUGGACAGUGCGUGAAGCCAGUCCAGGGGCCACACUGGGACCUGCUCUCAGCUCUGCCACGUCCUGGGCAGGUGGCCCUGGCAUGCCAGCCGCGGUGUCCGCAGAGGCAUCCAUUCCUCAUGGCAAAGUGGAGGCAAAAGUCAAGUUGGCCGAUGCGGGCGAGACGCCUGGCCGACCCGGGGAGCCGCACCACCGCUCCCCACAUUGUGCUGCUGACUGAGGGGUGUUCAGUGCACGGCUUCACACAGUCAGUGCACAGACAUGACCGCCGGCCUGAGAAGCCACCGCGUGCACCUGGCCCACCAAGUCGGCAGGGAGGCAGGCGCGGUGUUGGCGCGGAUCACCGAAGGAGCUGGCUGCCCAGCCGUCCCCGUGACUGGAUGGAGUCCAAACGUUCCUGUGCAUCCUCUCUGGGAUGGGCUCGGUGCCAGGGCCCAGGGUAGUUUUCAAAUUGCAGGUCGUGGCUGUUAUACCGGGGUCAUGGGGUCAGUACACUGGGCUCUAACUGGCAAUUCCUAAAAAUAAAAUCUGAGUCUGUCUCGUAUAGUUA
Non-coding RNA from Macaca mulatta (Rhesus monkey), 4631 nucleotides. The record is from RefSeq and is a predicted model, not a curated record. Lineage: Eukaryota; Metazoa; Chordata; Mammalia; Primates; Cercopithecidae.